This 967-nucleotide ribosomal RNA is filed under the name Sorex alpinus (alpine shrew). Its description in RNAcentral is "partial 16S ribosomal RNA". It matches the Rfam family "Bacterial large subunit ribosomal RNA", at positions 888 to 2578 of the family's 2925-position model. Lineage: Eukaryota; Metazoa; Chordata; Mammalia; Eulipotyphla; Soricidae. The record is from RNAcentral.
AAAUUACACCGUAAAUUUAAUUGUUAAUCUAAAAGGGUACAGCCCUUUAGACUAAGGAUACAACCUUCAUUAGAGAGUAAAUCACAUUAAUAACCAUAGUUGGCCUAAAAGCAGCCAUCAAUUAAGAAAGCGUUCAAGCUCAACAACAAUCAAAUUCUUAAUUUAAUAAAUUUUCAUUAACUCCUAAUUUACCACUGGACUAAUCUAUUAACUAAUAGAAGAAAUACUGUUAAUAUGAGUAACAAGAUUUAUAUCUCCCAGCACAAGUUUAUGUCAGACCAAAUAAUAACUGAUAGUUAACAACCAAAUAAAUAUAAUCCCACAUAAAUUAUUUAUUAAAUCACUGUUAACCCAACACAGGCGUGCAACAAAGGAAAGAUUAAAAGAAGUAAAAGGAACUCGGCAAACACAAACCCCGCCUGUUUACCAAAAACAUCACCUCUAGCAUUACUAGUAUUAGAGGCACUGCCUGCCCAGUGACAACUGUUAAACGGCCGCGGUAUCCUGACCGUGCAAAGGUAGCAUAAUCAUUUGUUCCUUAAAUAGGGACUUGUAUGAAUGGCCACACGAGGGUUUAACUGUCUCUUGCUUCUAAUCAGUGAAAUUGACCUUUCCGUGAAGAGGCGGAAAUACAUUAAUAAGACGAGAAGACCCUAUGGAGCUUUAAUUGACCUAAUCCAACAGAAUAACAAUAUACUCCACCAAGGACCAACAAAUAUUCUAAUUGGAUUAUAAAUUUCGGUUGGGGUGACCUCGGAGCAUAAAAUAACCUCCGAGAAACAAAUACCAAGACUAACAAGUCAAAGUAACACUUUACAAAUUGAUCCAGUCUUACUGAUCAACGGAACAAGUUACCCUAGGGAUAACAGCGCAAUCCUAUUCUAGAGUCCCUAUCGACAAUAGGGUUUACGACCUCGAUGUUGGAUCAGGACAUCCCAAUGGUGCAGCAGCUAUUAAUGGUUCGUUU